Molecule: small nuclear RNA, 20 nt
Filed under: Arabidopsis thaliana (thale cress)
Lineage: Eukaryota; Viridiplantae; Streptophyta; Magnoliopsida; Brassicales; Brassicaceae
Description: snRNA_18044
Source: RNAcentral
UUUGGCUUCAUCACACACCA